This 1158-nucleotide ribosomal RNA is filed under the name uncultured Flavobacteriaceae bacterium. RNAcentral describes it as "bacterial SSU rRNA". It matches the Rfam family "Bacterial small subunit ribosomal RNA", at positions 371 to 1533 of the family's 1533-position model. The record is from RNAcentral. Lineage: Bacteria; Pseudomonadati; Bacteroidota; Flavobacteriia; Flavobacteriales; Flavobacteriaceae.
AUGGAGGCAACUCUGAUCCAGCCAUGCCGCGUGCAGGAAGACGGCCCUAUGGGUUGUAAACUGCUUUUAUACAGGAAGAAUGUUACCUAUGCGUAGGUAUUUGACGGUACUGUAAGAAUAAGGAUCGGCUAACUCCGUGCCAGCAGCCGCGGUAAUACGGAGGAUCCAAGCGUUAUCCGGAAUCAUUGGGUUUAAAGGGUCCGCAGGCGGUUCAUUAAGUCAGAGGUGAAAUCCUACCGCUCAACGGUAGCAUUGCCUUUGAUACUGAUGGACUUGAGUUAUAGUGAAGUAGUUAGAAUGUGUAGUGUAGCGGUGAAAUGCAUAGAUAUUACACAGAAUACCGAUUGCGAAAGCAGAUUACUAACUGUAUACUGACGCUGAGGGACGAAAGCGUGGGUAGCGAACAGGAUUAGAUACCCUGGUAGUCCACGCCGUAAACGAUGGAUACUAGCUGUUCGGCCAACAAUGGUUGGUUGAGUGGCUAAGCGAAAGUGAUAAGUAUCCCACCUGGGGAGUACGCUCGCAAGAGUGAAACUCAAAGGAAUUGACGGGGGCCCGCACAAGCGGUGGAGCAUGUGGUUUAAUUCGAUGAUACGCGAGGAACCUUACCAGGGCUUAAAUGUAGGUUGCAUAAACCAGAGAUGGUUUUUUCUUCGGACCACCUACAAGGUGCUGCAUGGUUGUCGUCAGCUCGUGCCGUGAGGUGUCAGGUUAAGUCCUAUAACGAGCGCAACCCCUGUUGAUAGUUGCCAGCAAGUAAAGUUGGGUACUCUAACGAGACUGCCGGUGCAAACCGCGAGGAAGGUGGGGAUGACGUCAAAUCAUCACGGCCCUUACGUCCUGGGCUACACACGUGCUACAAUGGCCGGUACAGCGAGCAGCCACUACGCGAGUAGGAGCGAAUCUAUAAAACCGGUCUCAGUUCGGAUCGCAGUCUGCAACUCGACUGCGUGAAGCUGGAAUCGCUAGUAAUCGGAUAUCAGCCAUGAUCCGGUGAAUACGUUCCCGGGCCUUGUACACACCGCCCGUCAAGCCAUGGAAGCUGGGGGUACCUGAAGUCGGUGACCGCAAGGAGCUGCCUAGGGUAAAACUAGUAACUGGGGCUAAGUCGUAACAAGGUAGCCGUACCGGAAGGUGCGGCUGGAACACCUCCUUUCU